Molecule: ribosomal RNA, 439 nt
Filed under: uncultured bacterium
Lineage: Bacteria
Description: partial 16S ribosomal RNA
Rfam family: Bacterial small subunit ribosomal RNA
Source: RNAcentral
CCUACGGGCGGCAGCAGUGGGGGAUAUUGCACAAUGGGGGAAACCCUGAUGCAGCAACGCCGCGUGUGGGAAGAAGGUUUUCGGAUUGUAAACCACUGUUCUUGGUGAAGAUAAUGACGGUAACCAAGGAGAAAGCUCCGGCUAACUACGUGCCAGCAGCCGCGGUAAUACGUAGGGAGCAAGCGUUGUCCGGAUUUAUUGGGUUUAAAGGGUGCGCAGGCGGAAGAUCAAGUCAGCGGUAAAAUUGAGAGGCUCAACCUCUUCGAGCCGUUGAAACUGGUUUUCUUGAGUGAGUGAGAAGUAUGCGGAAUGCGUGGUGUAGCGGUGAAAUGCAUAGAUAUCACGCAGAACUCCGAUUGCGAAGGCAGCAUACCGGCGCUCAACUGACGCUCAUGCACGAAAGUGUGGGUAUCGAACAGGAUUAGAUACCCCUGUAGUC